UGGCGGCAGGCCUAACACAUGCAAGUCGAGCGGUAGAGAGAAGCUUGCUUCUCUUGAGAGCGGCGGACGGGUGAGUAAUGCCUAGGAAUCUGCCUGGUAGUGGGGGAUAACGUUCGGAAACGGACGCUAAUACCGCAUACGUCCUACGGGAGAAAGCAGGGGACCUUCGGGCCUUGCGCUAUCAGAUGAGCCCAGGUCGGAUUAGCUAGUUGGUGAGGUAAUGGCUCACCAAGGCGACGAUCCGUAACUGGUCUGAGAGGAUGAUCAGUCACACUGGAACUGAGACACGGUCCAGACUCCUACGGGAGGCAGCAGUGGGGAAUAUUGGACAAUGGGCGAAAGCCUGAUCCAGCCAUGCCGCGUGUGUGAAGAAGGUCUUCGGAUUGUAAAGCACUUUAAGUUGGGAGGAAGGGUUGUAGAUUAAUACUCUGCAAUUUUGACGUUACCGACAGAAUAAGCACCGGCUAACUCUGUGCCAGCAGCCGCGGUAAUACAGAGGGUGCAAGCGUUAAUCGGAAUUACUGGGCGUAAAGCGCGCGUAGGUGGUUUGUUAAGUUGGAUGUGAAAUCCCCGGGCUCAACCUGGGAACUGCAUUCAAAACUGACUGACUAGAGUAUGGUAGAGGGUGGUGGAAUUUCCUGUGUAGCGGUGAAAUGCGUAGAUAUAGGAAGGAACACCAGUGGCGAAGGCGACCACCUGGACUAAUACUGACACUGAGGUGCGAAAGCGUGGGGAGCAAACA
This 742-nucleotide ribosomal RNA is filed under the name uncultured bacterium. Its description in RNAcentral is "bacterial SSU rRNA". It matches the Rfam family "Bacterial small subunit ribosomal RNA", at positions 37 to 774 of the family's 1533-position model. The record is from RNAcentral.